This 694-nucleotide ribosomal RNA is filed under the name uncultured Actinomycetales bacterium. RNAcentral describes it as "bacterial SSU rRNA". It matches the Rfam family "Bacterial small subunit ribosomal RNA", at positions 62 to 769 of the family's 1533-position model. The record is from RNAcentral. Lineage: Bacteria; Bacillati; Actinomycetota; Actinomycetes; Actinomycetales.
UCGAACGGAAAGGCCCUGCUUGCAGGGUACUCGAGUGGCGAACGGGUGAGUAACACGUGGGUGAUCUGCCCUGCACUUCGGGAUAAGCCUGGGAAACUGGGUCUAAUACCGGAUAGGAGCCAUUUUUAGUGUGAUGGUUGGAAAGUUUUUUCGGUGUAGGAUGAGCUCGCGGCCUAUCAGCUUGUUGGUGGGGUAAUGGCCUACCAAGGCGGCGACGGGUAGCCGGCCUGAGAGGGUGGACGGCCACAUUGGGAAUGAGAUACGGCCCAGACUCCUACGGGAGGCAGCAGUGGGGAAUAUUGCACAAUGGGCGCAAGCCUGAUGCAGCGACGCCGCGUGGGGGAUGACGGCCUUCGGGUUGUAAACUCCUUUCGCUAGGGACGAAGCUUUUUGUGACGGUACCUAGAUAAGAAGCACCGGCUAACUACGUGCCAGCAGCCGCGGUAAUACGUAGGGUGCGAGCGUUGUCCGGAAUUACUGGGCGUAAAGGGCUCGUAGGUGGUUUGUCGCGUCGUCUGUGAAAUUCCGGGGCUUGACUCCAGGCGUGCAGGCGAUACGGGCAUAACUUGAGUACUGUAGGGGUAACUGGAAUUCCUGGUGUAGCGGUGAAGUGCGCAGAUAUCAGGAGGAACACCGAUGGCGAAGGCAGGUUACUGGGCAGUUACUGACGCUGAGGAGCGAAAGCAUGGGUAGC